Molecule: non-coding RNA, 1474 nt
Organism: Tupaia belangeri chinensis (Chinese tree shrew)
Lineage: Eukaryota; Metazoa; Chordata; Mammalia; Scandentia; Tupaiidae
Source: the annotation of a RefSeq genome assembly
GAAUUCUAUGGCCGCGGCACUCUGGCUGACCUCGUCCAUCUUCUCACACUGGUCACCACGGUGUAGCAGUUUUUGUUUAUUUUUCUUUUUAGUCAAAAUGCUGCUUGAUACAUCUUUUGCCUUUACUGACUAAGGGUGGAUUUGAAUAUCAAUCCUAAACCUAGCAGGCAGGGAAAGCAGUGGAAAAAGUGUGUGCAAGGGGUCAGGGUGUACAGGAGACAGGGGUGGACAGUGGGGUGAUCUGUGUGUCAGUUUUAGACAAACUUUAGCAAUACGGGUGUUUGAAUCCAUGACCACUGCCCACUAGGGGGCACUGUGGUUCCUUGAUGCUGCCUGGAGCCAUGAGGAGGGUUUGGGAAGGUAGUUCAGGAGCCUAAGGCCUAGGAAGCCUUAGCUGCUUGCUUUAGUCCAGCAGGUGAUUUGAAUUCAGGGUGGGCCCAGGAUUUGUGGAGUUAGACUCUUGAUGGGAAGGGAAGGGUCCGGGUGCCUCAGCCCUCAGAAGGCACAGAGGAGGAAACUUCUCUGCAUUUGCCUGGGCAAAAGACUGGAAGGGACUAGGGCUGGAGGGCUCGGGAAGCAGUGUCAGGGCAGCAGCCAGGACGGCAAGAGGCGGAACUAGAGCCUGAGAAAAUGGUAUGUGGUGGGCCUGUGGGCCCUGUGUUCAAAAUGACUCCUUCUUUAGUUGAGGGGCUGAACAAGAGGUCUCAGAGCUUGGUCCUGCUAGGGUGAGGUGUGCUUGGUGGCCUGUAGGGGGAGUAAAGUCAUAAUGACACUUCAGGCUCAUGUCCCUGUCAGGCGACAGCUACCCAACCUGAGAAGCUCAGCCCCAGAGACUUGUGCAGAGCUAGGGGAUGCCUAGGUUCCUAACUACCAUGAGAUUCAGGCUUCUCUGCUGUGUGGCUCUUUAUCUCUUGCGAUCAGGCCUGGCUGCUUCUGAAGUCACCCAAACCCCCAAACACCUGAUCAAAGCACGAGGACAGCAAGGGACACUGAGAUGCUCCCCUGUCUCUGGGCACCUUUCUGUGUACUGGUACCAACAGACCUCGGACCAGGGUCUCCAGUUUCUCGUUCAACAUUACAAUGGAGAGGAGAGAGAAAGAGGGAACAUCCCGGAUCGAUUCUCAGCACAGCAGUUCAGCAACUCCAGCUCGGAGCUGAACCUGAGCUCCUUGACUGUAGGAGACUCAGCCUUGUACCUCUGUGCCAGCAGCUUGGCACAGCCCUGCUCGGUCGUCAGCCUGCUGUGCAAAAACGAUCCUGCCCUGCUCAGGAAGUGGCCCUGAUGGUGGCACUGCCAGCCAGCUGGCUGAGGCCCUGGAGAGAGGCCGGUCUUCCAGAUACUCGUGGUGCUCACAUAUGUGAUCUGCCUUAAUGUUUGCAGAAAUCAUGCAAAACUCGUGUUAUUUUAUGUUUCUGCACCUGAGGGAAAGAAGUCAUCUUUGAUGCCUUUUUUUUUUUUUGAGAGUUUUUUGCU